AUUGAACGCUGGCGGCAGGCCUAACACAUGCAAGUCGAACGAGUGGCGGACGGGUGAGUAAUGUCUGGGAAACUGCCUGAUGGAGGGUGAUAACUACUGGAAACGGUAGCUAAUACCGCAUACCAUCAGAUGUUCCCAGAUGGGAUUGGCUAGUUGGUGGGGUAACGGCUCACCAAGGCAACGAUCCCUAGCUGGUCUGAGAGGAUGACCAGCCAAACGGGAACUGAGACACGGUCCAGACUCCUACGGGAGGCAGCAGUGGGGAAUAUUGCACAAGGGGCGCAAGCCUGAUGCAGCCAUGCCGCGUGGAUGAAGAAGGCCUUCGGGUUGUAAAGUACUUUCAGCGGGGAGGCGUUACCCGAAGAAGAAGCACCGGCUAACUACGUGCCAGCAGCCGCGGUAAUUC
RNAcentral lists this ribosomal RNA (406 nucleotides) under uncultured bacterium. Its description in RNAcentral is "partial 16S ribosomal RNA". It matches the Rfam family "Bacterial small subunit ribosomal RNA", at positions 30 to 526 of the family's 1533-position model. The record is from RNAcentral.